AGCCUUGAGGCUUCUAUAAAAGGAGCCUCAAGGCUCCAAGUUCAGCACAAAGCCCCAUCAGUUCGGUGGGCGAGCAGCCAAUCUGGCUCUUGCAUUUGCGGAGCCGGAUACGGCUAGGCUCCAUAGUUAUAAAAUUUUUUAAAUGCUGUCUCGUACACCUUCACAUGCGGCGACAUUGGCGGCGGCGGCGACAUUGGCGGCGUCUUCACUUCAGGUGAAUUGUUAUGAAUUUUUUCUUGAUCAACAUGUGUGCUUUGAUCAUUUAAUUGUUCCAGUUGUUUAGAUGUAUGGGUUUGCUUGUUUUGAGACAUUUAAUAAUUGUUUCCACUUGUUUUGAUGUAGUGAAUUUGCCUAUUUUGAAACAUUCUGCCUAACUUAAGGUGUAUUCUUAUUGAUUCUUCUUGAUGGGACUUUAAGUUCUUUGAUCA
This is a long non-coding RNA of Ipomoea triloba (trilobed morning glory), 428 nucleotides long. RefSeq lists it as uncharacterized. The transcript has 2 exons. NCBI's taxonomy places the organism in Eukaryota, Viridiplantae, Streptophyta, Magnoliopsida, Solanales, Convolvulaceae. The record is from RefSeq and is a predicted model, not a curated record.